UGGGGAAUAUUGCGCAAUGGGCGAAAGCCUGACGCAGCGACGCCGCGUGAGGGAUGAAGGUUUUCGGAUCGUAAACCUCUGUCAGAAGGGAAGAAACCGCACUGUGCUAAUCAGCAGUGCCUUGACGGUACCUUCAAAGGAAGCACCGGCUAACUCCGUGCCAGCAGCCGCGGUAAUACGGAGGGUGCAAGCGUUAAUCGGAAUUACUGGGCGUAAAGCGCACGUAGGCUGCUUUGUAAGUCAGGGGUGAAAUCCCACGGCUCAACCGUGGAACUUCCUUUGGUACUGCUUAGCUUGAAUCCGGGAGAGGGUGGCGGAAUUCCAGGUGUAGGAGUGAAAUCCGUAGAUAUCUGGAGGAACAUCAGUGGCGAAGGCGGCCACCUGGACCGGUAUUGACGCUGAGGUGCGAAAGCGUGGGGAGCAAACAGG
Molecule: ribosomal RNA, 429 nt
Filed under: Fusobacteriota bacterium
Lineage: Bacteria; Fusobacteriati; Fusobacteriota
Description: Fusobacteria bacterium partial 16S ribosomal RNA
Rfam family: Bacterial small subunit ribosomal RNA
Source: RNAcentral